RNAcentral lists this ribosomal RNA (138 nucleotides) under uncultured bacterium. RNAcentral describes it as "partial 16S ribosomal RNA". It matches the Rfam family "Bacterial small subunit ribosomal RNA", at positions 355 to 509 of the family's 1533-position model. The record is from RNAcentral.
UGGGGAAUAUUGCACAAUGGGGGGAACCCGUGAUGCAGCGACGCCGCGUGAGGGAAGAAGGUUUUCGGAUUGUAAACCUCUGUCCUUGGUGACGAUAAUGACGGUAGCCAAGGAGGAAGCCACGGCUAACUACGUGCC